Molecule: ribosomal RNA, 465 nt
Filed under: Vreelandella stevensii
Lineage: Bacteria; Pseudomonadati; Pseudomonadota; Gammaproteobacteria; Oceanospirillales; Halomonadaceae
Description: partial 16S ribosomal RNA
Rfam family: Bacterial small subunit ribosomal RNA
Source: RNAcentral
CCUACGGGUGGCUGCAGUGGGGAAUAUUGGACAAUGGGGGCAACCCUGAUCCAGCCAUGCCGCGUGUGUGAAGAAGGCCCUCGGGUUGUAAAGCACUUUCAGUGAGGAAGAACGCCUGGUGGUUAAUACCCAUCAGGAAAGACAUCACUCACAGAAGAAGCACCGGCUAACUCCGUGCCAGCAGCCGCGGUAAUACGGAGGGUGCGAGCGUUAAUCGGAAUUACUGGGCGUAAAGCGCGCGUAGGUGGCUUGAUAAGCCGGUUGUGAAAGCCCCGGGCUCAACCUGGGAACGGCAUCCGGAACUGUCAAGCUAGAGUGCAGGAGAGGAAGGUAGAAUUCCCGGUGUAGCGGUGAAAUGCGUAGAGAUCGGGAGGAAUACCAGUGGCGAAGGCGGCCUUCUGGACUGACACUGACACUGAGGUGCGAAAGCGUGGGUAGUAAACAGGAUUAGAUACCCCGGUAGUC